RNAcentral lists this unclassified non-coding RNA (300 nucleotides) under uncultured Chaetomiaceae. RNAcentral describes it as "sequence contains 5.8S rRNA gene, ITS2". The stretch from base 1 to 87 matches the Rfam family "5.8S ribosomal RNA", at positions 66 to 154 of the family's 154-position model. The record is from RNAcentral. Lineage: Eukaryota; Fungi; Ascomycota; Sordariomycetes; Sordariales.
UGUGAUAAAGAGACAGGUGAAUCAUCGAAUCUUUGAACGCACAUUGCGCCCGCCAGUAUUCUGGCGGGCAUGCCUGUUCGAGCGUCAUUUCAACCAUCAAGCCCCGGGCUUGUGUUGGGGACCUGCGGCUGCCGCAGGCCCUGAAAUGCAGUGGCGGGCUCGCUGUCACUCCGAGCGUAGUAAUACAUCUCGCUCUGGACGUGCUGCGGGUUCCGGCCGUUAAAAGCCUUAUUUACCCAAGGUUGACCUCGGAUCAGGUAGGAAGACCCGCUGAACUUAAGCAUAUCAAUAAGCGGAGGA